This 390-nucleotide ribosomal RNA is filed under the name uncultured bacterium. Its description in RNAcentral is "bacterial SSU rRNA". It matches the Rfam family "Bacterial small subunit ribosomal RNA", at positions 29 to 408 of the family's 1533-position model. The record is from RNAcentral.
AACGAACGCUGGCGGCGCGCCUAAUACAUGCAAGUCGAGCGAGAAGACGUAGCAAUACGUUUGUAAAGCGGCGAACGGGUGAGGAAUACAUGGGUAACCUACCCUCGAGUGGGGAAUAACUAGCCGAAAGGUUAGCUAAUACCGCGUACGCUCCUUGGACUUCGGUUCAGGGAGGAAAGCGAUACCGUGGGUAUCGCGCUCUUGGAUGGGCUCAUGUCCUAUCAGCUUGUUGGUGAGGAACGGCUCACCAAGGCUUCGACGGGUAGCUGGUCUGAGAGGACGAUCAGCCACACUGGCACUGCGACACGGGCCAGACUCCGUACGGGAGGCAGCAGUAAGGAAUAUUGCGCAAUGGGCGAAAGCCUGACGCAGCGACGCCGCGGUGGGGGA